This 253-nucleotide ribosomal RNA is filed under the name uncultured bacterium. Its description in RNAcentral is "partial 16S ribosomal RNA". It matches the Rfam family "Bacterial small subunit ribosomal RNA", at positions 524 to 776 of the family's 1533-position model. The record is from RNAcentral.
UACGUAGGGUGCGAGCGUUAAUCGGAAUUACUGGGCGUAAAGCGUGCGCAGGCGGUUCGUUGUGUCGGUGGUGAAAGCCCCGGGCUUAACCUGGGAAUGGCCAUGGAAACUGGCGAACUGGAGUGUGGCAGAGGGGGGUGGAAUUCCGCGUGUAGCAGUGAAAUGCGUAGAGAUGCGGAGGAACACCGGUGGCGAAGGCGGCUUCCUGGACAGUGACUGACGCUGAGACGCGAAAGCGUGGGGAGCAAACAGG